This 376-nucleotide ribosomal RNA is filed under the name uncultured bacterium. RNAcentral describes it as "bacterial SSU rRNA". It matches the Rfam family "Bacterial small subunit ribosomal RNA", at positions 29 to 419 of the family's 1533-position model. The record is from RNAcentral.
AGCGAACGCUAGCGGCGGGCCUAACACAUGCAAGUCGAGCGGAGAACUUCGGUUCUUAGCGGCGGACGGGUGAGUAACGCGUAGGUAAUGUGCCUUCUGGUGGGGAACAACCGUGCGAAAGCAUGGCUAAUACCGCAUAUGUCGAGAGAUGAAAGCCUUCGGGCGCCAGUAGAGCAGCCUGCGUCCCAUUAUUUAGUCCUAGUUGGUGAGGUAACGGCUCACCAAGGGUACGAUGGGUAGCUGGUCUGAGAGGAUGAUCAGCCACACUGGAACUGAGACACGGUCCAGACUCCUACGGGAGGGCAGCAGUGGGGAAGUAUUGCGCAAUAGGGCGAAAGCCUGACGCAGCCACGCCGCGUGAGUGAUGAAGGCCUCG